This 504-nucleotide ribosomal RNA is filed under the name uncultured soil bacterium. Its description in RNAcentral is "bacterial SSU rRNA". It matches the Rfam family "Bacterial small subunit ribosomal RNA", at positions 26 to 519 of the family's 1533-position model. The record is from RNAcentral.
AGAUUGAACGCUGGCGGCAGGCCUAACACAUGCAAGUCGAGCGGUAGAGAGGUGCUUGCAUCUCUUGAGAGCGGCGGACGGGUGAGUAAUGCCUAGGAAUCUGCCUAGUGGUGGGGGAUAACGUUCGGAAACGGACGCUAAUACCGCAUACGUCCUACGGGAGAAAGCGGGGGACCUUCGGGCCUCGCGCCAUUAGAUGAGCCUAGGUCGGAUUAGCUAGUUGGUGAGGUAAUGGCUCACCAAGGCGACGAUCCGUAACUGGUCUGAGAGGAUGAUCAGUCACACUGGAACUGAGACACGGUCCAGACUCCUACGGGAGGCAGCAGUGGGGAAUAUUGGACAAUGGGCGAAAGCCUGAUCCAGCCAUGCCGCGUGUGUGAAGAAGGUCUUCGGAUUGUAAAGCACUUUAAGUUGGAGGAAGGUUGUAACUUAAUACGUUGACUAACGUUUUGACGUUUACCGACAAGUAAUAAGCACCGGCUAACUUCGUGCCAGCAGCCGACG